RNAcentral lists this long non-coding RNA (276 nucleotides) under Manihot esculenta (cassava). RNAcentral describes it as "long non-coding RNA (MESC_LNC000414)". The record is from RNAcentral. Lineage: Eukaryota; Viridiplantae; Streptophyta; Magnoliopsida; Malpighiales; Euphorbiaceae.
GCAAAGUGCUAUUACAUUCCAAAGAAAUCUCAGUUUCUGGUUUCAAAUAGCGAAACACGGCUACAUGUCUAUAACAUCAAUGAGGAUGCAUAGCUCCAUUAUUUCUAAUUCAGAAGAGCAAUAAUAUUGCAGAGCAAUAUUACAUAACAUCCAGUACAGUCUCUUACCCUCAGUGUCACGAGAUUUUGGGUGAUACAAGUUUUACAUUUAGUUUAUCUAAAUGAAUGCCUGGAUAAUUUGAUGAUUUAGUGCAGACAAUGGGCCUUAAAAUUUUCA